AAUUUUUGUAAAGAACUUCGUGUAUUCGUUUAGUUAUAAUUUGUAAUACACGUUGUUCUUAUUAAAAUUA
Molecule: microRNA precursor, 70 nt
Filed under: Plutella xylostella (diamondback moth)
Lineage: Eukaryota; Metazoa; Arthropoda; Insecta; Lepidoptera; Plutellidae
Description: microRNA pxy-mir-8496 precursor
Source: miRBase by way of RNAcentral